Molecule: ribosomal RNA, 1975 nt
Filed under: Escherichia coli
Lineage: Bacteria; Pseudomonadati; Pseudomonadota; Gammaproteobacteria; Enterobacterales; Enterobacteriaceae
Description: partial 23S ribosomal RNA
Rfam family: Bacterial large subunit ribosomal RNA
Source: RNAcentral
GGGUUGUGAGGUUAAGCGACUAAGCGUACACGGUGGAUGCCCUGGCAGUCAGAGGCGAUGAAGGACGUGCUAAUCUGCGAUAAGCGUCGGUAAGGUGAUAUGAACCGUUAUAACCGGCGAUUUCCGAAUGGGGAAACCCAGUGUGAUUCGUCACACUAUCAUUAACUGAAUCCAUAGGUUAAUGAGGCGAACCGGGGGAACUGAAACAUCUAAGUACCCCGAGGAAAAGAAAUCAACCGAGAUUCCCCCAGUAGCGGCGAGCGAACGGGGAGCAGCCCAGAGCCUGAAUCAGUGUGUGUGUUAGUGGAAGCGUCUGGAAAGGCGCGCGAUACAGGGUGACAGCCCCGUACACAAAAAUGCACAUGCUGUGAGCUCGAUGAGUAGGGCGGGACACGUGGUAUCCUGUCUGAAUAUGGGGGGACCAUCCUCCAAGGCUAAAUACUCCUGACUGACCGAUAGUGAACCAGUACCGUGAGGGAAAGGCGAAAAGAACCCCGGCGAGGGGAGUGAAAAAGAACCUGAAACCGUGUACGUACAAGCAGUGGGAGCACAGAGCAAUCUGUGUGACUGCGUACCUUUUGUAUAAUGGGUCAGCGACUUAUAUUCUGUAGCAAGGUUAACCGAAUAGGGGAGCCGAAGGGAAACCGAGUCUUAACUGGGCGUUAAGUUGCAGGGUAUAGACCCGAAACCCGGUGAUCUAGCCAUGGGCAGGUUGAAGGUUGGGUAACACUAACUGGAGGACCGAACCGACUAAUGUUGAAAAAUUAGCGGAUGACUUGUGGCUGGGGGUGAAAGGCCAAUCAAACCGGGAGAUAGCUGGUUCUCCCCGAAAGCUAUUUAGGUAGCGCCUCGUGAAUUCAUCUCCGGGGGUAGAGCACUGUUUCGGCAAGGGGGUCAUCCCGACUUACCAACCCGAUGCAAACUGCGAAUACCGGAGAAUGUUAUCACGGGAGACACACGGCGGGUGCUAACGUCCGUCGUGAAGAGGGAAACAACCCAGACCGCCAGCUAAGGUCCCAAAGUCAUGGUUAAGUGGGAAACGAUGUGGGAAGGCCCAGACAGCCAGGAUGUUGGCUUAGAAGCAGCCAUCAUUUAAAGAAAGCGUAAUAGCUCACUGGUCGAGUCGGCCUGCGCGGAAGAUGUAACGGGGCUAAACCAUGCACCGAAGCUGCGGCAGCGACGCUGAUGCGUUGUUGGGUAGGGGAGCGUUCUGUAAGCCUGCGAAGGUGUGCUGUGAGGCAUGCUGGAGGUAUCAGAAGUGCGAAUGCUGACAUAAGUAACGAUAAAGCGGGUGAAAAGCCCGCUCGCCGGAAGACCAAGGGUUCCUGUCCAACGUUAAUCGGGGCAGGGUGAGUCGACCCCUAAGGCGAGGCCGAAAGGCGUAGUCGAUGGGAAACAGGUUAAUAUUCCUGUACUUGGUGUUACUGCGAAGGGGGGACGGAGAAGGCUAUGUUGGCCGGGCGACGGUUGUCCCGGUUUAAGCGUGUAGGCUGGUUUUCCAGGCAAAUCCGGAAAAUCAAGGCUGAGGCGUGAUGACGAGGCACUACGGUGCUGAAGCAACAAAUGCCCUGCUUCCAGGAAAAGCCUCUAAGCAUCAGGUAACAUCAAAUCGUACCCCAAACCGACACAGGUGGUCAGGUAGAGAAUACCAAGGCGCUUGAGAGAACUCGGGUGAAGGAACUAGGCAAAAUGGUGCCGUAACUUCGGGAGAAGGCACGCUGAUAUGUAGGUGAAGUCCCUCGCGGAUGGAGCUGAAAUCAGUCGAAGAUACCAGCUGGCUGCAACUGUUUAUUAAAAACACAGCACUGUGCAAACACGAAAGUGGACGUAUACGGUGUGACGCCUGCCCGGUGCCGGAAGGUUAAUUGAUGGGGUCAGCGCAAGCGAAGCUCUUGAUCGAAGCCCCGGUAAACGGCGGCCGUAACUAUAACGGUCCUAAGGUAGCGAAAUUCCUUGUCGGGUAAGUUCCGACCUG